UUUUAUGGAGAGUUUGAUCCUGGCUCAGGAUGAACGCUGGCGGCGUGCCUAAUACAUGCAAGUCGAGCGAACUGACGAGGAGCUUGCUCC
RNAcentral lists this ribosomal RNA (90 nucleotides) under Staphylococcus chromogenes MU 970. RNAcentral describes it as "partial 16S ribosomal RNA". It matches the Rfam family "Bacterial small subunit ribosomal RNA", at positions 1 to 86 of the family's 1533-position model. The record is from RNAcentral. Lineage: Bacteria; Bacillati; Bacillota; Bacilli; Caryophanales; Staphylococcaceae.